GGUGGUGUAAGAUGGACCCGCGUCUGAUUAGCUGGUUGGCGGGGUAACGGCCCACCAAGGCGACGAUCAGUAGCCGGCCUGAGAGGGUGGACGGCCACAUUGGGACUGAGACACGGCCCAAACCCCUACGGGAGGCAGCAGUGGGGAAUAUUGGACAAUGGGGGGAACCCUGAUCCAGCGACGCCGCGUGAGUGAAGAAGUAUUUCG
Molecule: ribosomal RNA, 207 nt
Filed under: uncultured bacterium
Lineage: Bacteria
Description: partial 16S ribosomal RNA gene
Rfam family: Bacterial small subunit ribosomal RNA
Source: RNAcentral